AGAGUUUGAUCCUGGCUCAGGAUGAACGCUGGCGGCGUGCCUAACACAUGCAAGUCGAGCGAUUCUCUUCGGAGAAGAGCGGCGGACGGGUGAGUAACGCGUGGGUAACCUGCCCUGUACACACGGAUAACAUACCGAAAGGUAUGCUAAUACGAGAUAAUAUGCUUUUAUCGCAUGGUAGAAGUAUCAAAGCUUUUGCGGUACAGGAUGGACCCGCGUCUGAUUAGCUAGUUGGUAAGGUAACGGCUUACCAAGGCGACGAUCAGUAGCCGACCUGAGAGGGUGAUCGGCCACAUUGGAACUGAGACACGGUCCAAACUCCUACGGGAGGCAGCAGUGGGGAAUAUUGCACAAUGGGCGAAAGCCUGAUGCAGCAACGCCGCGUGAGCGAUGAAGGCCUUCGGGUCGUAAAGCUCUGUCCUCAAGGAAGAUAAUGACGGUACUUGAGGAGGAAGCCCCGGCUAACUACGUGCCAGCAGCCGCAGUAAUACGUAGAGGGCAAGCGUUGUCCGGAAUUACUGGGCGUAAAGGGUACGCAGGCGGAUAUAUAAGUCAAAUGUGAAAGGCACCGGCUCAACCGGUGAGCGGCAUUUGAAACUGUAUAUCUUGAGUUCAGGAGAAGAGAGCGGAAUUCCUGGUGUAGCGGUGGAAUGCGUAGAUAUCAGGAAGAACACCAGUGGCGAAGGCGGCUCUCUGGCCUGAAACUGACGCUCAGGUACGAAAGCUGGGGGAGCGAACGGGAUUAGAUACCCCGGUAGUCCCAGCCGUAAACGAUGGACACUAGGUGUUGGGGGUUUGAAUCCUUCAGUGCCGAAGCAAACGCAUUAAGUGUCCCGCCUGGGGAGUACGGUCGCAAGACUGAAACUCAAAGGAAUUGACGGGGGCCCGCACAAGCGGUGGAGCAUGUGGUUUAAUUCGAUGCAACGCGAAGAGCCUUACCGAGACUUGACAUCCCGUGACUAUCUGUGAAAGCAGAGUCUGCCUUCGGGCACACGGAGACAGGUGGUGCAUGGUUGUCGUCAGCUCGUGUCGUGAGAUGUUGGGUUAAGUCCCGCAACGAGCGCAACCCCUAUCCUUAGUUGCCAGCGGGUAAUGCCGGGGACUCUAAGGAGACAGCUGGUGGAAGCCGGAGGAAGGUGGGGAUGACGUCAAAUCAUCAUGCCCUUUAUGUCUCGGGCUACACACGUGCUACAAUGGCCAGUACAGAGGGAAGCGAAGGAGUGAUCUGGAGCAAAUCCCAGAAAGCUGGUCCCAGUUCGGAUUGCAGGCUGCAACUCGCCUGCAUGAAGCCGGAAUCGCUAGUAAUCGCAGGUCAGCAUACUGCGGUGAAUACGUUCCCGGGCCUUGUACACACCGCCCGUCACACCACCCGAGUCAGAUGCACCAGAAGUCAUCUAAGGAUGCCGAAGGUGUGCCUGGUAAGGGGGGUGAAGUCGUAACAAGGUA
RNAcentral lists this ribosomal RNA (1446 nucleotides) under uncultured bacterium. RNAcentral describes it as "bacterial SSU rRNA". It matches the Rfam family "Bacterial small subunit ribosomal RNA". The record is from RNAcentral.